Molecule: ribosomal RNA, 254 nt
Filed under: uncultured bacterium
Lineage: Bacteria
Description: partial 16S ribosomal RNA
Rfam family: Bacterial small subunit ribosomal RNA
Source: RNAcentral
CACGUAGGGGGCGAGCGUUGUCCGGAUUUAUUGGGCGUAAAGAGCUCGUAGGCGGCUCGGUAAGUCGGGUGUGAAACCUCCAGGCUCAACCUGGAGACGCCACCCGAUACUGCCGUGGCUAGAGUCCGGUAGAGGAGCGUAGAAUUCCUGGUGUAGCGGUGAAAUGCGCAGAUAUCAGGAGGAAUACCAGCGGCGAAGGCGGCGCUCUGGGCCGGUACUGACGCUGAGGAGCGAAAGCGUGGGGAGCAAACAGG